GUAGGGAAUCUUCGGCAAUGGACGAAAGUCUGACCGAGCAACGCCGCGUGAGUGAAGAAGGUUUUCGGAUCGUAAAACUCUGUUGGUAGAGAAGAACGUUGGUGAGAGUGGAAAGCUCAUCAAGUGACGGUAACUACCCAGAAAGGGACGGCUAACUACGUGCCAGCAGCCGCGGUAAUACGUAGGUCCCGAGCGUUGUUCGGAUUUAUUGGGCGUAAAGCGAGCGCAGGUGGUUUAUUAAGUCUGGUGUAAAAGGCAGUGGCUCAACCAUUGUAUGCAUUGGAAACUGGUAGACUUGAGUGCAGGAGAGGAGAGUGGAAUUCCAUGUGUAGCGGUGAAGUGCGUAGAUAUAUGGAGGAACACCGGUGGCGAAAGCGGCUCUCUGGCCUGUAACUGACACUGAGGCUCGAAAGCGUGGGGAGCAAACAGGAUUAGAUACCCGGGUAGUCC
Molecule: ribosomal RNA, 450 nt
Filed under: uncultured bacterium
Lineage: Bacteria
Description: partial 16S ribosomal RNA
Rfam family: Bacterial small subunit ribosomal RNA
Source: RNAcentral